UUUGCUUUAUGGGCCAAAGAUAUUCAUUUGUAUCAACAGUUGGUCAUGUUCAUCUCAACACUUGUCCAUCUUUGCACUACGGGCCAAAGAUAUUCAUCAGGUAAUCAUUCAUCUUUGCACUACAAGCUAAAGAUAUUCAUCAAGUAUCACCAUUAAAGACUGAGGAUGAUGAAAAAUAUUUUCAAGAACGAAUCAAUUGAG
This 201-nucleotide long non-coding RNA is filed under the name Panax ginseng (ginseng). RNAcentral's name for it is "long non-coding RNA (PGIN_LNC008523)". The record is from RNAcentral. Lineage: Eukaryota; Viridiplantae; Streptophyta; Magnoliopsida; Apiales; Araliaceae.